AGGUAAGCUACUAAGAGCGAAUGGUGGAUGCCUUGACUGGUAGAGGCGAUGAAGGACGUACUAGACUGCGAUAAGCUAGGUGGAGCUGUCAAGAAGCUUUGAUGCCUAGAUUUCCGAAUGGGGCAACCCAGUAUAUAGAGAUAUAUACUACCAUAAUGGAGCGAACGAGGGGAAUUGAAACAUCUUAGUACCCUCAGGAAAAGAAAUCAAACGAGAUUGCGUCAGUAGCGGCGAGCGAAAGCGUAAGAGGGCAAACCCAGUGCUUGCACUGGGGGUUGUAGGACUGCAAUGUGCAAGAGGAAAGGUUAGCAGAACACUCUGGAAAGUGUAGCCAUAGAGGGUGAUAGUCCCGUAUGCAAAAACCUAACCUUAGCUAGCAGUAUCCUGAGUAGGGCGGGACACGAGAAAUCCUGUCUGAAGCUGGGUAGACCACUAUCCAACCCUAAAUACUACUACCAGAUCGAUAGCGAACAAGUACCGUGAGGGAAAGGUGAAAAGAACGGCGGUGAGCCGAGUGAAAUAGAACCUGAAACCAUUUGCUUACAAUCAUUCAGAGCACUAUGUAGCAAUACAGUGUGAUGGACUGCCUUUUGCAUAAUGAGCCUGCGAGUUGUGGUGUCUGGCAAGGUUAAGCUAACGCGAAGCCGUAGCGAAAGCGAGUCUGAAUAGGGCGCUAAGUCAGAUGCUGCAGACCCGAAACGAAGUGAUCUAUCCAUGAGCAGGUUGAAGCUAGUGUAAGAACUAGUGGAGGACCGAACCCGCUAGCGUUGAAAAGCUAUGGGAUGACUUGUGGAUAGGGGUGAAAGGCCAAUCAAACUUCGUGAUAGCUGGUUCUCUCCGAAAUAUAUUUAGGUAUAGCGUUGUGUCGUAACUAAAGGGGGUAGAGCACUGAAUGGGCUAGGGCAUACACCAAUGUACCAAACCCUAUCAAACUCCGAAUACCUUUAGUGUAAUCACAGCAGUCAGGCGGCGAGUGAUAAAAUCCGUCGUCAAGAGGGAAACAACCCAGACUAACAGCUAAGGUCCCCAAAUCUUACUUAAGUGGAAAACGAUGUGAAGUUACUUAAACAACCAGGAGGUUGGCUUAGAAGCAGCCAUCCUUUAAAGAAAGCGUAAUAGCUCACUGGUCUAGUGAUUUUGCGCGGAAAAUAUAACGGGGCUA
RNAcentral lists this ribosomal RNA (1162 nucleotides) under Campylobacter upsaliensis. RNAcentral's name for it is "partial 23S ribosomal RNA". It matches the Rfam family "Bacterial large subunit ribosomal RNA", at positions 1 to 1183 of the family's 2925-position model. The record is from RNAcentral. Lineage: Bacteria; Pseudomonadati; Campylobacterota; Epsilonproteobacteria; Campylobacterales; Campylobacteraceae.